Triticum aestivum (bread wheat) is the source of this 135-nucleotide non-coding RNA. The record is from Rfam. NCBI's taxonomy places the organism in Eukaryota, Viridiplantae, Streptophyta, Magnoliopsida, Poales, Poaceae.
UUUGUACUCCCUCCAUCCCAAAAUUCUUGUCUUAAAUUUGUCUAAAUAUGGAUGUAUCUAGUUACAUUUUAGUGUUAGAUACAUCUGUAUCUAAACAAAUGUAAGACAAGAAUUUUGGGACGGAGGGAAUACUAC